This 1591-nucleotide long non-coding RNA is filed under the name Sinocyclocheilus grahami. RNAcentral's name for it is "lncRNA (ENSSGRG00000043737.1)". Lineage: Eukaryota; Metazoa; Chordata; Actinopteri; Cypriniformes; Cyprinidae. The record is from RNAcentral.
UUUCAAGGCUUGCAACACACACGCCUGAUGUUUGUCUGAAAAAAAUACAAAAUAAAUACAUUCUUCCUUCUGUGUUGGACUGGGGGUAUUUUUACUCUGCAUGUUUCAUCUCUAAAUGGUAAGGUUUAUUUUUGGUCAAAUAUCUGGUUGUAAUCAGUCAUUUUGAGUUAACUAACUUUACUGUAGAGUUAAGCAAGGAGAAUGUAACAGUGUAUUGUGGUUUCCGUCAUUUUGGCAAUGUACUAAUUAAAUAUCAAAUUCUAUAAAAUGACAUUAUAUAGCAUAUAAUUAGUUCAAGUUUGCUUAUAAACACUGUAACCCAGCAGGAAGCUCAGCAAGCAUCAUUAUUGUGCAACAUUUGAUCAACCUGUGAAGUGCAGACGGAAACUGGUGAAUAUCAUGUGUUUAUUGUUGUGGUUUCUCAAGGUUGAGCAAAGAGAUGCUCUUGUUUCUUUGAAAUGGCUCUUUUCAGGCCAGACGGCACAGUAGAGAUGUCACACCAGUGUAACUGUAUUUACUUUUAGACAACAAUCUAGAAGGUGCAGAAAAGGUUUGGGAUAACAGAAGACUUCCAAAUGAUAUGAAAGUAUAAACUACUCCAUCCUCCUCUAUAGUGUGUAGCAGUGGCAUGUGGGUCUGUAUCACUGUGAAAUGCUGAAGACUUUAGCUAUAGCAUUAACCAUAAGGACACUGGAGUCCACACGCGCAGAAGAAUUAGAACAAGGUGAAUCCGAAAGCUCAGAGGACACAGUGAUGUCUUUUUGGCCCUUCAUAGCAGGAGGAGCAACUAUUAUUAUUUGUCUUCUUGUGGUCACGACAUGUUGCAUUGUGUAUAAACGAAAAAAAACAUCAGAUCAACCAUAUUAUGCAAACAGCCAGCAGGUUCAAGAGGCCAGACAAAAUCAAAUCAUUUAUGAGAAUGAUCAUGAGUUCAGAAAAAAUAUCUCCAAAGGGAAAAGACCGUUUUCGUCAGUUUACAUCAAUAGGCCUGAAAAUAAGGUUGCAAUUUAUGUGAACAGUGCAGCACAGGCAGAUGAGACGAAUGCAAACAGCACCGACAAUGAUUAUGAAAAUGUGGAGUAGUCUGCUAAGAAGACAUGACUGCAGUUCUUCAUUCUUCAUUCUGUUUUUCAUUCAUUGUCUUUUGUGCACACUACUAACUUAAGUGGAUUAAUGAUAUAAAUAAAUACAUGUAGGCCUGAAAAUAAGGUUGCAAUUUAUGUGAACAGUGCAGCACAGGCAGAUGAGACGAAUGCAAACAGCACCGACAAUGAUUAUGAAAAUGUGGAGUAGUCUGCUAAGAAGACAUGACUGCAGUUUUUCAUUCUUCAUUCUGUUUUUCAUUCAUUGUCUUUUGUGCACACUACUAACUUAAGUGGAUUAAUGAUAUAAAUAAAUACAUUUUAGCAUUUCAGCCUUAUUCAGGUAAUACACAUGAACAGAAAAUAAUCUGUUAUAAUGGAAUGAUCUGUGACCAUUUAGGAUGAUAAAACAUUUUAGGAUGACAAAGUCUUUGUAGUAGUAUAUUUGACUAACAUUGUAUUUGUCAAAAAUGGCAGUGUGUUCUUCACAACAGUGAAUAAAAUCUUGC